Molecule: long non-coding RNA, 198 nt
Organism: Perognathus longimembris pacificus (Pacific pocket mouse)
Lineage: Eukaryota; Metazoa; Chordata; Mammalia; Rodentia; Heteromyidae
Exons: 3
Source: RefSeq, a predicted model, not a curated record
GUGAUACAAGACACAUUUGUUUUUUUUUUUUUCCUCUCAUAUUCUCUUCCGGUGGUUUUACCCCUGCGAUCACUGUAUCUAUUCUUAGUACCCUGGAUACUGUAUAUAAGUGUAUUAGAACGAGGGAAGGGAAAGGGAAUACCAAACUCUAAAGACAAAUGAUAAAAAGACAAUCCAUUUCAAAAGCAAUACUUACAA